AUGACGACGAUAGGCGGCGGCAGCGAUGAGCGGCGCGAGCAGGGCGGUUGGUUGGUUGGUUUGGGACUUGAGAGAGAUGAGGACUACAUUGGCGAGAUGAAAUGCUUGCAGUGCAUCUGCCUUCAAGGCUGUCAAGAUCUGACAUGUCUUCCCAGGAGCAUUGUGAAUCUAGAGAGGUUGAGGUUUCUCGACCUCUCCGGAGCACAGGUGAUGACAGUACCAAGAGACUUCGGAAGGCUUGUCAAUUUGGUGUCGCUGAAGGGAUUUCCAGCAUAUACUGAUACUGCAAAAAGUUGGUGCACCGUGCAAGAGCUUGGGCCACUUCACCAUCUUAUGCAUCUUACAGUAAGAGGGCCAGAGAAUAUAUCUUCCAGCUCAAUGGAUACAUCUGCGAAUCUUGCUGAGAAGAGGUGUCUUAGGUCAUUGUGGUUAUAUUGCACUAGCAGUCAUGCAUACGAGCAGCACAGGCAAGAGCUCCCAGGGUGGCUGUUGUCAUCAGAUCUCGAGAACUUGAGGCUACUCAAGCUUGAGAACCUCCGCUCAUGCACACAACUCCCAUGUAGUUUUGUGCAGCUUCCCAAUUUGGAGUCGCUGUGCAUUAAACAUGCUCUAUCCAUCAGGCGCAUUGGAGAAGAAUUCCUCGACCUACUGCGACCUUAUAUUGUGUUCCCCAAGCUGAAGAAGCUAGUUUUCUAUGGAAUGCUGCAAUGGAAAGAGUGGGACUGGGAUGUGAAAUUGGAGGCUAUGCGUGCCCUAGAAAGUCUACAAAUCAGCAGGUGCAGAUUGAGCCAUCUCCCUCCUGGCCUUGCAGGUCAGACAAUGGCGUUGAGAGUGAUCAAAAUAGAAAAGGCCAAGGAUCUCAUCUCCGUAGAGAACUUCUGUUCAGUUGUGGAGCUUUAUUUGCAUUCCAACUCCAGUUUAGAGAAGAUUGCCAAUCUUUCUAAUUUGAAAAAACUUAGGGUAUCCAAAUGUCCGAAGCUGCAGGUAUUAGAGGAGGUGAAGGCACUGUCAAGCAUCGAACUGAAAGAUCAUGAAAUGAGAACACUCCCAGAAUAUCUGCAGCAGCGGAGGAAUCAGAAAGUUCGUUGGAGAAUCAAGAGUAAUCGCCGGGGAGUACAUACUGUGGUGGAUCCUGGUCGCCUCAUCCAGAAGCAGCUUCUGAAGUUAUUCACCUCUAAUGUUCUAUGGCAAAUUGGCAAUGCAUUACAUACUGUGUAA
RNAcentral lists this ribosomal RNA (1218 nucleotides) under Triticum aestivum (bread wheat). Its description in RNAcentral is "partial small subunit ribosomal RNA". The record is from RNAcentral. Lineage: Eukaryota; Viridiplantae; Streptophyta; Magnoliopsida; Poales; Poaceae.